This 91-nucleotide non-coding RNA is filed under the name unclassified sequences. Its description in RNAcentral is "freshwater-2 RNA". It matches the Rfam family "freshwater-2 RNA". From Rfam's summary of the family: Aquatic, esp. fresh water. No recognized genes The record is from RNAcentral.
CAACGCAAUGGUGCGUUUUAUGCUGGUCGGGAAACCCAACAGCGUAGCAGAAUAGAACCUGCAUUGGACUUCUUUAAGGAGAAAACAAAUG